RNAcentral lists this ribosomal RNA (500 nucleotides) under uncultured bacterium. RNAcentral describes it as "partial 16S ribosomal RNA". It matches the Rfam family "Bacterial small subunit ribosomal RNA", at positions 30 to 523 of the family's 1533-position model. The record is from RNAcentral.
AUUGAACGCUGGCGGCAUGCUUUACACAUGCAAGUCGAACGGCAGCACGGACUUCGGUCUGGUGGCGAGUGGCGAACGGGUGAGUAAUACAUCGGAACGUACCCAGUAAAGGGGGAUAACUAUCCGAAAGGAUAGCUAAUACCGCAUACGCCCUACGGGGGAAAGAGGGGGAUCGCAAGACCUCUUGUUAUUGGAGCGGCCGAUGGCUGAUUAGCUAGUUGGUGAGGUAAAGGCUCAUCAAGGCGACGAUCAGUAGGGGGUCUUAGAGGACGAUCCGCCACACUGGAACUGAGACACGGUCCAGACUCCUACGGGAGGCAGCAGUGGGGAAUCUUGGAGAAUGGGCGCAAGCCUGAUCCAGCAAUGCCGCGUGCGUGAAGAAGGCCUUCGGGUUGUAAAGCGCUUUUGUCAGGGAGCAAAUCCUUGUGGCUAAUACCCACCGGGGAUGAGAGUACCUGAAGAAUAAGGACCGGCUAACUACGUGCCAGCCGCCGCCGUAA